CAAGUCAUGCAACAAGUUUCAUUUCUUUGGACAAAAAUAUCACAUCAUUUAUUUAUUUCAGAUAGAAGAGUUAUUCAAUAAAAGCAAAGAGAUACAAAAUAAUAUAAGGAUAAAACAAAAAUAAUUGAAAUCAUCCAUUUCACAAACACCAACAAUCAGGACCUCCGAAAUUCAGUCAAUGAUCUUUUGUCCCUAAAGUCACCAAGCUCUCUUUAUAUCCAUUCUCUAGCAGGCCAGAAAACAUAAACAUGUACAUCAUUUGAAUAGGGAGAAUAAGUAAUAAGUUAACGUCAAACAGAUGUUAGCAAUGACGUGGUGGUCCUAGGUUAGGUCAUGACAAAUACUUAAACAGUAACCGAAAAAGUUUCCCCCAUUGUUUCUUCUGACUUGCGUUACAAACUAAUAAAAAACAAAAUCGUCAGGGUUGGUGAAUAAAAUGAAAAAAUCUGACUCAGGCGAAAAAAACUAAACAAAUUGUCACAUACGAUUUUGUAAGUGACGCGUUACAAAGUUGUUUUUAAUGUAAAACAAUCAAAACCUACUUUUUGAGCUUAUUGUAACCCCAGUUCCUCCAAGGGAAUCAAACGUACAUGUCUUCAACAAUCUAAGCGAAAUGUUGAUUGCUCACAAUGUGACUAUUUCUUACAGAUGUUGGAUAACGUAACAACUCAUUUUGACGAAGUUUUAAAGAUGACGAGUGUAUAUAUAUAUAAAGAUGACAUUUCUUUAAUUAAAAAAAAAAACAACCAAAAAAAAAACAAAAAACUCAGCUAUUGAGACUAUCGGAAUGCUGUCUACUGUAAGCUUUCUUUUCAAACAAGUCCGGUCUAUAGAAAUAUAUAAAAUAGCACGUAUGACUGAUUAGUCACUUCUCAAGUGUGUUGUCAAUGUUCACAUAUCGAAAUAAAAUACUAACAAAAAGAAUUACAAUUUCAUUCAAAUUGUUAUAUGAAAUAUGCUUUAGUCGACGCAAUAGAUUGUAUAUAUGUACACUUUUAAACAACAGACUAUGAUAAAAAUAAUCACUCUAUCUUCCUGUGGAGUG
This is a non-coding RNA of Biomphalaria pfeifferi, 1045 nucleotides long. The record is from the annotation of a GenBank genome assembly. NCBI's taxonomy places the organism in Eukaryota, Metazoa, Mollusca, Gastropoda, Planorbidae.